UACGUAGGGUGCGAGCGUUGUCCGGAAUUAUUGGGCGUAAAGAGCUCGUAGGCGGCCUGUCGCGUCGGAUGUGAGAGCCCGGGGCUUAACCCCGGGUCUGCAUUCGAUACGGGCAGGCUAGAGUUCGGUAGGGGAGAUCGGAAUUCCUGGUGUAGCGGUGAAAUGCGCAGAUAUCAGGAGGAACACCGGUGGCGAAGGCGGAUCUCUGGGCCGAUACUGACGCUGAGGAGCGAAAGCGUGGGGAGCGAACAGG
Molecule: ribosomal RNA, 253 nt
Filed under: uncultured bacterium
Lineage: Bacteria
Description: partial 16S ribosomal RNA
Rfam family: Bacterial small subunit ribosomal RNA
Source: RNAcentral